AUGACUCAAACUCAUAAAAAUAGCAGUGAAAAUCCACGUCAAUUGAAAUUACUCAAAAACUCAGUGAAUCAGACCGCAAAUCGUCGAAUAGCAAAUGCCACGCCUUGGAGCCUCCCGCCUGCGCGUCACUGCAUGCCAUCCUUACUACACCUACCCGCGUCACUGAGGUAUCACGUUGCAUGUGCCCCACGCACUAUUGCGGUCUAA
Molecule: non-coding RNA, 207 nt
Organism: Vicia faba (fava bean)
Lineage: Eukaryota; Viridiplantae; Streptophyta; Magnoliopsida; Fabales; Fabaceae
Source: the annotation of a GenBank genome assembly